Long non-coding RNA from Myzus persicae (green peach aphid), 4649 nucleotides. RefSeq lists it as uncharacterized. The transcript is spliced from 2 exons. NCBI's taxonomy places the organism in Eukaryota, Metazoa, Arthropoda, Insecta, Hemiptera, Aphididae. The record is from RefSeq and is a predicted model, not a curated record.
UUGCUAGUGUAUAUAUAUAUAUUUAGUUAUUAUUUCCGUUUAUUUUAUAUAAUUAUUCAUAUUAAUUGUUAUUUACUUAUUGGUAAUUAUAUUUAUUCAACUAGUGUUGGCUGUGUGGACAUCUAUUCAUAAUCUCAAAAGUUAUCGACAGAAGGUAGACAGAAGGUUACCGUGCACAAAAACGACGCUAAGAAAUACCACAAGAAUAGAACAUUAAAUAUAUAAAAAGAAAAUUAAAAAUGUAACAAUAAGAAUUAAAUGUGAUAAAAUAAAUAAAUAAGAUAAUAAUAGUUUAAGAAUAUAAGUGUAAAAUAUAAGUAUAAAAAAAAAACGAAAAUUAUAUUUCUAGAGAAAGAGAAAGAGAAUUCAUCCUGGAAUUAGAAAUGAUAUUAAAACGGAACAAUCACGAUCAUAAAACUAAAGUAGAAAAGGAUGAGUUAUCUAAAUGUCUAUUAAAACACAUAAGUGAAGCAAACCACAAAAUUGACAAGCCAUUUAGAUUUAGUAGGAGCGAAUUGAAGGGAAUAACCAAAACAAUAGCUCAUAAAUUAUGGGAUAGUACAGAAGGCGAAAUAGGAGUUUACGAAUCGCGUUGCGAACUAAUAUACGUAUACAUCAUGAAUUGGGUCGCAGAUCCAAGGAUAUUGUUAAACUAUAACCGUCGAGACGAAGUUAGACGAAGCUCUAGAAUACGUAGAAACAGGAAUAAAGAAAUCAAGAACAAAAUAAUAAAUAAAAUAUAUAAUGUAUGAAAUUUAUGUUACUUUCAGGAUAAGGGACAGAGAAUUCGUACCCGGACUAGAACUAAAGCAAUUUUAUAUAGGGAGCAUGACACAAGUACUGUAGGAAAAAGAGAUAUACCUAAAUGUUUAAAAGAGCACAUAGCGAUAGCGAACAGUGUUCUACAUGACGUUUUUACAAAGGAGGAAAUUAAAAGGAUAACAAAAAACAUAACCGUAUUCUUAUGUGCCAAAACAGAUCGACAAGGGAGGUUAAGUAGAACGACUUGUAAGGACUUAAUCAAAUUGCUGGACUAUGUGCCCGAAGUUGGAAUGUUAUUAAAUUUUACGGAUGAAGAAUAAAUUUUAAAAAUAAUAAUAAUAAUAGUAUAAAAUAGAAAUAAAAAAAUGUGAUAUAUAUAUAUAAUUAAAUAAGCUAAAUGCAUAAAUCAUUUAAACAAGUAGAAAAUAAGUAAUAACUAAGAAAUGUAAAUAUUAUAGAUUACUGAUGAUACAGACCGUCAAAGCGCAAAGAGUAACGAACGACAGAAUGUUGGGAACCACAAUCUUUUAUAAAUAUGAUGAAAUAAAUUCACGAUUAUAAACGUAUCGGGCGAAAUCGAUGAUGAGUAUAGUUUUACGGACGACUGACGAGACAGAUAGCAAAAUAGAAUCACUACGAAUAAGAUGUAAUUUAGGAAGGGACCCACCAUUAUUCGAAGCAAAUUUAUCGGAAAAACCACUUACCUAUUAUUUACAAAAAUCGUGCGUACUGUAUGUAAGAAAUUUCGAUGGUACCAAGCACAGGUUAAAACAAAUUCCGGUAACAUACAAUUAUCUAAAAUUUAAGCCAGAAAAUGAGUCAGCACAAGUGAUAGUCGAGUCUAAAAUUGAACCAAAUAACGAAACCAUUAGUAUUGAGAACCAGGUUUUAGAACAAAAUAAAACUACUAAAAUAAAUAGGGAAAAGCUAAGAUCCGAGAAAAUAUCACAACCGAAAGGGUAGUAACGAUAUCCGAAAAAGUAGGAACAAUAUCAGAAAAGGGGGAAACGAUUUACCCAGCGAGUUACAUUAUAAAAAUUCCAAUGAGAACAACUGAAUCACCAGUGUCUAAUGACAGCGAUAGGGGUCGCGAGGGAACCGAAAAGAUAAAUUUAAAUAGUACAGAGAAACCAGUAAGCAUAUUCGACAACAAACAGAAAAUAAAGGAUAAAAAGGGAAAUGGACAGCAGGUUAACGAAAAAAGUGAUAAAAUUGGCUAUUUAAUGUUUGUAAUUAUGGGAUUAAUAAUAAUGACGUCUAUAAUAAUAAUAAUUAAUCUAAAUCGUAAUUAUAAGUUUGUGCAUAGAAGCAGGUAUAGGUACAUGAUAUACGCAUUAAACGAACAUCACCAAAUGAUGGAAACGGAAUGCUAAAAGAAAAUAUAUAAUAUAAUAAUAUAAUAAUACAUAUACAAUUUAAUUAAAAAUAAGUAGAUACUUAAAACGUAGAAUAAAUAUAGGAUUAAUCAUUAUAAAAGAAAAGGGUAUAAUCUAGUUCCAAAGACAAAAUGCUUUACAUCGAAUAUAAACGAAUAAAUACAUAGGUCAAGUAAAUUAAGUUAGAUUUAGAACAAAUUAGAAUAUAAGUGGGAGACAGAGAAAGCGUAUUAAGAGUAUAUGAUUAAUGGCAAUCAUUCCGUUAUAGGGUGAACAUAAGGACCAUUACGGUGAAUACAGCGUACCUGACAAAAAUAGUGCAGUUGGAAGAGGGGGAGACUAGCGAGCCAACACAUGAACUGUCAAUAGUAAAGAAGUCAGGGGGGCGUUUAGUAACAAUGAUACUGUCAAAAGCGGGAGUAUUUUUGAGAGAAAUGGAAAUAUAUAGAAGUAGGGAACCCGGCGCGUUUACACAAACAGGUAGGCACAUUACAUUGGAUGAAGCGCACGGAGUAAUAUGUUGGUGUAGUCAUGACCGCAUAGCUGGUUUGUCCAGUAUAGCGCUAUUGUGUAGGUGUAUAGUAGGUUUAAUGACGAGGGAGGACGCAUGGAAAACCUCAACCAAACCACUAGUAUUGCAAAUGCAUGGAUUUAUACAACAAACGGUUUAACAUUAACAAUAACAUGUCAAGGAAGUAAGGAACCUUAUAUAGUAAACAUUAAAAACCAAGGUAUAAUAAAAUUAAAUCAAGAAUGCCGAGCCUACGCGGGAGAUAUUCUAUUAAAUCCAACGCGAGAUAUAAAAACAAAUUAUUAUAUUAAUUUUAUACCACAAAUAGGGACAGGCAAACUAUCGAUAACUCUACCUAAUAAAAUUAAAGAUGUAGAAUUACCAAAAAUAAAAAAUAAAUAUGACUCAUCAAUUGGAUAAAGUGCAUGAAAUAAAGCAAUCCUUAGAUGAAGUACAGGGGGGCGAUUGUAAACUCCGCCAGAAUAUCGGUUAAGAUAAAAAGGUAAUAAUAGGUCUAUGGUAAACUCCGCCAGCUUUUUUUUCUUACCUGUAAUGGGUAUAUGUAAACUCCGCCAGUUUUUUUUUUUACCUGGUCAGUGCGACAGUACUCACAUUGCCACGUGCCUUCUCACAUUAAAUACGUUUACAUCUAUUGUGAUGUAUAUGUCAAAAUUGAUAAAAUAUUGUCAAGGUUAGAUCGAUUCAAAUUAUUAAUAAUUUUAUCUUCAUAUUAUCUGAAAUCAGGAUUUCCAAUGAUGAUAUCGGCAGUAGAUAAGGUAUACGUAAAGACGUAUACUUUGACGAACAUAAUCAUUCGUAGUCUGCGUGUUUCCGUACUUCUGAUAUUUGUAAUUUGUAUAUGUCCGAACGAAAUAUGUCGCAAGAAAAUAAUAGUAUAAAAUUAAUUACUGGCGAACGAGGCAAUUUGUUGGUUGUAUUUAAAAAUUAUAAGUAUAAUAAAAAUAUAAAAUACGCGUCUGGUGAAAUAAAAUGGAGGUGCAAUAACAAAAAUUGUAAUGCAUUUAUAAAAACUGUUGGAGCUGAGCAGCAUAAUAUUGCUUUAACACAUUUUGCAAAUGAUACUCACAUUACUUCAUGCCUUCCAAUUUCCAUCCAAACACUAGAAAGACAAGAAAUAAGUAGUUGUGUAAAGAGGAAAGCGGUAGAAGAUAUUCGUGAUAAACCGGGUUAGGUUAUUUUUUUAUUUUUUUAUUUACUUUACAUGGAUAUUUUAAUGGACAUUAUAUACCACUUGUCUUCUGUCUUUUAAAAGAUAAAAAACAAGAGACUUACAUUAAUUGUUUCAAAUCAAUCUGUGAAAAAUGUUUAGAGUUAAAUUUAGUUUUUAGUCCAACAGAAAUAGUUGUCGAUUUUGAAUUAGCAAUUCAUAAUGCAUGCGAAAAAAUAUGGCCUGAUGUUAAUCUAGUAGGAUGUAGAUUUCAUCUCAGCCAAUCAUGGUGGAGGGCAAUUCAAAACUUUGGACUGAGUGUUGAAUAUAAAAGUGAAUCAGAAAUAAGUAAGUAACUUCAUUUAUGUUUCGGAUUAUUAUUUUUAUCUCCGGAAAAAGUUCCCGAUGUAUUUGCAUUUACUUUAGAAGCAAUCAUGCCAUCCGACUCUAGAGUAACUAAGUUCUCAGAUUACCUUGUUGACAAUUAUAUAAGUAAUGAAGCAGCAUUUCCUCCUCAUUUGUGGGCUGAUCAAAAUGCAAAUUUAAAUCGAACAACAAAUGCCUGUGAAUCCUUUCAUAGUCAUCUGAGAAAUUCAUUUUAUAAAAGUCAUCCGAAUGUUCACAUUUUUAGUAAAGUUCUUAUCGAAUUUCAAACCCAAACUUAUAUUAAACUAAAUGGCAUAUCUCAAGUAAAUCAGCUAAAAAAUUCGAAAUCAAAAAAAAAAAAGACAGUAUUACAGGAUGCUAUGAAUAGGUAUACUAAUAAAGAAAUACAAGACUUAGAAUAUUUGCAAAUUGUAUCACAUCAUUAUAGUUUUACAUAAUAGUUUUU